Molecule: long non-coding RNA, 693 nt
Filed under: Pan troglodytes (chimpanzee)
Lineage: Eukaryota; Metazoa; Chordata; Mammalia; Primates; Hominidae
Description: long non-coding RNA NONPTRT011353
Source: RNAcentral
UUCAGCCAUGAAACUGACUCAUCAGUUGAGGGCAGCUCCAGUGCCAGCAAUAGGGUGGCACAGAAGCUCAUCUCAGUCAUCCUGCAGGCACAUGAGGGGGUGCCCUCCGGCCACCUGUACUGUAUCAGCCCCAAGCAGGUGGUGAGUUGGGGUAUGGGCUGGGAGCUGUCUGCAUUGGCCGGCCAGUGGGCAUGGGACAGUGCUAAGGCUGCUGUGUCUAUGCCAGGUGGUCCCUGCUGGGGGCAGCAGCACCAUCUACAUCUCCUUCACCCCUAUGGUGCUCAGCCCUGAGAUCCUGCACAAGGUGGAGUGUACUGGCUACGCCCUGGGUUUCAUGAGCUUGGACAGCAAGGUGAGCUCUUCCAGCCUGGGGUGGGGGCCGCAGCCACUGCUCCCUCCUGGGUAGCAUGCUGCCUACUCAGCCCAGGGAUCUGCUAUGAUCAGACUUGGGCUCAGUAGGUGGAAAGGGAGAUUCCAGGGAAGAGGCAUCGCCUGCAGGACUUUGCGGUGGGACCCCUGAAACUGGACCUGCAUAGCUACGUGAGGCCUGCACAGCUAAGUGUGGAGCUGGACUACGGCGGCAGUAUGGAAUUCCAGUGCCAGGCCAGUGACCUCAUUCCCGAGCAGCCCUGCUCUGGGGUGCUGAGUGAGCUGGUGACCACCCACCACCUGAAGCUGACCAACACUACAGAG